Long non-coding RNA from Cololabis saira (Pacific saury), 217 nucleotides. RefSeq lists it as uncharacterized. NCBI's taxonomy places the organism in Eukaryota, Metazoa, Chordata, Actinopteri, Beloniformes, Belonidae. The record is from RefSeq and is a predicted model, not a curated record. The transcript is spliced from 3 exons.
UCGACCAAUGACUCAGUCUUUGUCCAGGAAUCAUGCAGCAGUUCAGACAACUUACAAAAUAUCAGGUUCCCUCCCUACUUUCUCUGGAGAACAGUGUCAGUGGUUCUCAGCUGGCAAAGACAUGCCCACACUGGGCCCAUGUGACCUUCAGAUGACCUUCAGAGGAAGCUACAGAACUCUUCAUGGGGAAUAAUCCUCAGGACACCUUUUCGGAGAC